Non-coding RNA from Monodelphis domestica (gray short-tailed opossum), 2562 nucleotides. Lineage: Eukaryota; Metazoa; Chordata; Mammalia; Didelphimorphia; Didelphidae. The record is from RefSeq and is a predicted model, not a curated record.
ACUGUGCUCCCCUCCAGACCUAAACUGGAAUUUCAUCUCUGCCACUUGCUGUCUCACAAGCCUCUCCACUUCUCCAAGUCCCUGUUUCCUCUUCUGUGAAAGGAGGAUUGCCAGAGACAAUGUUUUUGAAAGGAUGACACCUGCAGUUCUCAAAGCCACCACAAGGUGUCAGUACAAAGGGGGAAGCCAGGGAUAGAGUAACCCAGACCUCACUAAGAGUACUACAGGGAAGGGGCAAUAUGGUGAGAUGGGGAAGCCUGGACCAGAUCCCGCUUCCUUAAUGUCUGGAGGAAUCAGGGCUCAGAUGAUACACUCAUUGCUUUCCACUGAAUGCGUCUAUCUUGGCUGACCCAGGACAUAGAAUCCAUGGAGGGGAAGCCAGCUCACCUUCGUUUAAAGCUCGGCUCAAGCCCAAGUUUUGUGAUUUGAGGUUCCAGGGGCAGCUGACUAUAGUCAGUUGUUGGCAUGGUCUCCAAAGGCUUCCCAGAAUGGCAGAUUGUUCCAAGGUUCCUUCUCUGCUUCCAGAGGCUGAUGGAGACCAGGAUCACCUCCCCCAACCCACCCACCAUGUUGCGCCUGUAGGGGAGGACGUGUGUGCAAAUCCGAAAUUUUAAAAAUUAAAAAUAACCGAAUUGGAAGAAAAUCAAAGAAACCUUUAAAAAAAUGUGGUCUCUCUCUGAGGAUCUCUCUGACUAAUAUGUACUUGACACUGAAAUGGUUUCUUUGUACAAUCUCAUAAUUACAUACAAUGAAUAUAUUUCACGUAACCCUAUACUCAUUACCCGCCUGCUUUUCUUCCAUGAAAUGCUUUUGCUCCCAAAGUCAAACGCAGGCUUUGAAAUCGGCAGUCGACUCGCCAAAGGGGUAAUUUUGCUGGGCCUCAAAUACUUCCGAUAAAGGGACCUGACUUGAAUGCACACUGCCAGAAGAUUAAUAGUCUUGGUUCUGAACUCUCCCUUUAAUCCACCUCAUUGAGAGAGAGGGAGGGAGAGGGAAGGAGAGAGGAAGAGAGAGAAAGAGAGACAGAGAUAGAGACAGACAGGGACAGAGAAAUAGAGACAGAGACAAAAAAAAGAGAGAGAAGGAGAAUAAAGAGGAGGAGGAGGGAGAGGACAGACAGAGAAGAAAAGAUAUGGAGAAAGAGAGAGAAAAAAGAAGGUAGAGGCAGAAGAGAGUGAAAGAAUGAAAAGAUAGAGAGGGAAAGAAAGGGGAGAAGAGAGGGAAAGAGAGGAAGAAAGAAAGAGAUGGGAAAAGAGAGAGGAAGAGAACUAGAAAGAAGAAAGUAGGAAAAGAGAGACAAAAAAAGAGAGAGAAGGAGAAGAAAGAGGAGGAGGAGAGAGAGGACAGACAGAGAAGAAAAGAUAUGGAGAAAAAGAGAAAAAAGAAGGUAGAGACAGAAGAGAGUGAAAGAUAGAAAAGAUAGAGAGGGAAAGAAAGGGGAGAAGAGAGGGAAAGAGAGGAAGAAAGAAAGAGAUGGGAAAAGAGAGAGGAAGAGAACUAGAAAGAAGAAAGUAGGAAAAGACAGACAUAGGGAGAAGAGAGGAGAAAGGGGGGUGAAAGAGAGGGAGAGACAGAGAGAGAGAGAGACAGGACAGAGACAGACAGAAAGAGAGAGAGAGAGAGACAGAGACAGAGAGAGAGAGAGAAAGAGAGAGAGAGAGAGACAGAGACAGAGAGAGAGAGAGAGAGAGAGAGAGAGAGAGAGAGAGAGAGAGAGAGAGAGAGAGAGAGAGAGAGAGAGAGAAUACAGUUUUCAUGAUGAAAGCUUCUAAAGCCAUGUGUGGAGCUAUAAGCAUCUGGCCAAGGAUCCCCCCCAGUGGAUACCCCAGCAGUAAACAGGUCUUUUUCCCCCAGAAGCCCCCAUUGAGAUAAGAAUACUCAGUCUGAAUGUCCCCUCCCCAUCAGGGAGGAAAAGCAGUGCCAUCCUCAAAGUUUCUUUUCUAUGAAAGAAACACACCUUGAAACAAAUGGAGCAGACGCAGGCUGAGGGCCUGUAAGUUACUGGACUGGAACAGAGUGAGGCAUUCCUAUUCUGUAAGAUGGAUAAAUAUGAAGAAUUCAGAGAAAUGUGGGACUGUCCAUGUCAAGUCUUACUGGUGGAGAUGGGCAUGAACAGAUCUAGAAGAACACCUGCAGUGACCACUGCAAUGGGAAGCAAACAACCCUAAAAGACUUCAGCUGAGUGCACAGACCUGACUCCAGAUGUAAGAUGAAACGGAGCUCCUCUCCCAUUAUUUCAGCAGAGUUGGGAGACCAAGGGUAUCAAAUGAAAUGUGCUUUCAGACGUGGUCAAUGUGUGUAGGUCAGUUUGGUUUGUUCAGCGAUUCUUUGCUUAGAGGAAGUGUUUUGGGUUUCAGGAUUUGAUGCCUUCAUCAACAAAUGUUUGUGCUGCCAAAAGGGAAGAAAAAAGAAAAGGCAUCAGUAAAACUAAAGCUAGAAAAAAUGUAAAAAGCAUAGAAGGAGAACAGGCCUCCCACAAUGCAUUAUAUCUCCAUUUCUGCCUUUUAAAGUUUAACUCAGAGCUCCCUGUUCAAUGAAGCCAUCUCGGUUCCCCAAAAUAAA